UCGGGAAUAUUGCGCAAUGGAGGAAACUCUGACGCAGUGACGCCGCGUGCAGGAAGAAGGUUUUCGGAUUGUAAACUGCUUUAGACAGGGAAGAAACAAGACAGUACCUGUAGAAUAAGCUCCGGCUAACUACGUGCCAGCAGCCGCGGUAAUACGUAGGGAGCAAGCGUUAUCCGGAUUUAUUGGGUGUAAAGGGUGCGUAGACGGGAAAACAAGUUAGUUGUGAAAUCCCUCGGCUUAACUGAGGAACUGCAACUAAAACUAUUUUUCUUGAGUGCUGGAGAGGAAAGUGGAAUUCCUAGUGUAGCGGUGAAAUGCGUAGAUAUUAGGAGGAACACCAGUGGCGAAGGCGACUUUCUGGACAGUAACUGACGUUGAGGCACGAAAGUGUGGGGAGCAAACAGGA
Molecule: ribosomal RNA, 406 nt
Filed under: uncultured bacterium
Lineage: Bacteria
Description: bacterial SSU rRNA
Rfam family: Bacterial small subunit ribosomal RNA
Source: RNAcentral